RNAcentral lists this ribosomal RNA (1250 nucleotides) under Salmonella enterica subsp. enterica serovar Kottbus. Its description in RNAcentral is "partial 23S ribosomal RNA". It matches the Rfam family "Bacterial large subunit ribosomal RNA", at positions 81 to 1269 of the family's 2925-position model. Lineage: Bacteria; Pseudomonadati; Pseudomonadota; Gammaproteobacteria; Enterobacterales; Enterobacteriaceae. The record is from RNAcentral.
GUAAGGUGAUAUGAACCGUUAUAACCGGCGAUUUCCGAAUGGGGAAACCCAGUGUGACUCGUCACACUAUCAUUAACUGAAUCCAUAGGUUAAUGAGGCGAACCGGGGGAACUGAAACAUCUAAGUACCCCGAGGAAAAGAAAUCAACCGAGAUUCCCCCAGUAGCGGCGAGCGAACGGGGAGGAGCCCAGAGCCUGAAUCAGCAUGUGUGUUAGUGGAAGCGUCUGGAAAGGCGCGCGAUACAGGGUGACAGCCCCGUACACAAAAGCGCAUGUGCUGUGAGCUCGAUGAGUAGGGCGGGACACGUGGUAUCCUGUCUGAAUAUGGGGGGACCAUCCUCCAAGGCUAAAUACUCCUGACUGACCGAUAGUGAACCAGUACCGUGAGGGAAAGGCGAAAAGAACCCCGGCGAGGGGAGUGAAAAAGAACCUGAAACCGUGUACGUACAAGCAGUGGGAGCCCCACCACUAAGCCAGUGGUGAACUCCACAUACGCAUCCUUUGCUGAGGAUACGGUUAACGGAGCGAAAGCGACGUUCAACCUCAAAAGAAGCAGAGGGGGCUUAGUGGUGGGGUGACUGCGUACCUUUUGUAUAAUGGGUCAGCGACUUAUAUUCUGUAGCAAGGUUAACCGCAUAGGGGAGCCGUAGGGAAACCGAGUCUUAACCGGGCGUUAAGUUGCAGGGUAUAGACCCGAAACCCGGUGAUCUAGCCAUGGGCAGGUUGAAGGUUGGGUAACACUAACUGGAGGACCGAACCGACUAAUGUUGAAAAAUUAGCGGAUGACCUGUGGCUGGGGGUGAAAGGCCAAUCAAACCGGGAGAUAGCUGGUUCUCCCCGAAAGCUAUUUAGGUAGCGCCUCGUGAAUUCAUCUCCGGGGGUAGAGCACUGUUUCGGCUAGGGGGCCAUCCCGGCUUACCAACCCGAUGCAAACUGCGAAUACCGGAGAAUGUUAUCACGGGAGACACACGGCGGGUGCUAACGUCCGUCGUGAAGAGGGAAACAACCCAGACCGCCAGCUAAGGUCCCAAAGUCAUGGUUAAGUGGGAAACGAUGUGGGAAGGCCCAGACAGCCAGGAUGUUGGCUUAGAAGCAGCCAUCAUUUAAAGAAAGCGUAAUAGCUCACUGGUCGAGUCGGCCUGCGCGGAAGAUGUAACGGGGCUAAACCAUGCACCGAAGCUGCGGCAGCGACACUCAGGUGUUGUUGGGUAGGGGAGCGUUCUGUAAGCCUGUGAAGGUGGCCUGUGAGGG